RNAcentral lists this ribosomal RNA (446 nucleotides) under uncultured bacterium. Its description in RNAcentral is "partial 16S ribosomal RNA". It matches the Rfam family "Bacterial small subunit ribosomal RNA", at positions 338 to 795 of the family's 1533-position model. The record is from RNAcentral.
CCUACGGGAGGCAGCAGUCGAGAAUCAUUCACAAUGGGGGAAACCCUGAUGGUGCGACGCCGCGUGGGGGAAUGAAGGUCUUCGGAUUGUAAACCCCUGUCAUGUGGGAGCAAAUUAAAAAGAUAGUACCACAAGAGGAAGAGACGGCUAACUCUGUGCCAGCAGCCGCGGUAAUACAGAGGUCUCAAGCGUUGUUCGGAAUCACUGGGCGUAAGGCGUGCGUAGGCUGUUUCGUAAGUCGUGUGUGAAAGGCGCGGGCUCAACCCGCGGACGGCACAUGAUACUGCGAGACUAGAGUAAUGGAGGGGGAACCGGAAUGCUCGGUGUAGCAGUGAAAUGCGUAGAUAUCGAGAGGAACACUCGUGGCGAAGGCGGGUUCCUGGACAUUAACUGACGCUGAGGCACGAAGGCCAGGGGAGCGAAAGGGAUUAGAUACCCUUGUAGUC